AGUCGAGUCAUCUACAAUAGCAAAACACAAAAUGAUUAGCUCAUGUAUCGAAGGUUUGCACUUUAAAACAUCGAAAGUGCUUCUGACCUAGAAUAAGAUAUAAUUGUAUUGUAGAAUCUAUUAAAUUUAUCUAAGAGCACAGUUCUAAAGAACUUAAAAUAAUUAAAUCCAAAGAUUGUAUUGUUGUUUAAGAAAUUGGUGAAGCACACGAUUCAAAGCGAACAUUGAUAGCAAGUUUCUAAUCUUUCAACCUAUACGAGUUUGAUGAUAUAUUACAAACAAGAAACCCAUAAAUAAUAAGAAUUAAAGGUGACGGAAAACAAACCUUGGAACACCACUAGAUCCGGCAAGAGGAAAAGUUUCGAGAGGGUUUCUGUGAGAUUAC
This 385-nucleotide long non-coding RNA is filed under the name Brassica napus (rape). Its description in RNAcentral is "long non-coding RNA (BNAP_LNC012403)". The record is from RNAcentral. Lineage: Eukaryota; Viridiplantae; Streptophyta; Magnoliopsida; Brassicales; Brassicaceae.